RNA transcript from Cebus imitator (Panamanian white-faced capuchin), 2139 nucleotides. It is a transcript of the gene named neutrophil cytosolic factor 4, with no coding region annotated. Lineage: Eukaryota; Metazoa; Chordata; Mammalia; Primates; Cebidae. The transcript has 11 exons. The record is from RefSeq and is a predicted model, not a curated record.
UAGACCCAGAGGGCCUGGAGGAGGAGCCUCUGCCAGAGCGGAGAGAAGCAGCCUGUGCCUCCCCAAAGGCAGCUCCUGGGGACUCCCAGGACCGCAGGCUGAGACGAGACGCAGGGUGGCUGGAGGAAGUGAGAGGUGAACUCAGCCCGGGACCAGGUGGGCGAGACUCCACCUGCUCCCUGGGACCAUCGCCCACCAUGGCUGCGGCCCAGCAGCUGCGGGCCGAGAGCGACUUUGAACAGCUUCCGGAUGACGUUGCCAUCUCAGCCAACAUCGCCGAUGUCGAGGAGAAGAGAGGCUUCACCAGCUACUUUGUUUUCGUCAUUGAGGUGAAGACGAAAGGAGGAUCCAAGUACCUCAUCUACCGCCGCUACCGCCAGUUCUACGCUUUGCAGAGCAAGCUGGAGGAGCGGUUCGGGCGGGAGAGCAAGAGCAGUGCCCCGGCCUGCACCCUGCCCACGCUCCCAGCCAAAGUCUACGUGGGUGUGAAACAGGAGAUCGCUGAGAUGCGGAUACCUGCCCUCAACGCUUACAUGAAGAACCUGCUCAGCCUGCCAGUCUGGGUGCUGAUGGAUGAGGACGUCCGGAUCUUCUUUUACCAGUCGCCCUAUGACGCGGAGCAGGUGCCCCAGGCACUCCGCCGGCUCCGCCCGCGCACCCGGAAAGUCAAGAGCGUGUCUUCACAAGGCAACGGCAUUGACCGCUUGGCAGCUCCAAGAGCAGAGGCCCUAUUUGACUUCACUGGGAACAGCAAACUGGAGCUGAAUUUCAAAGCUGGAGAUGUGAUCUUCCUCCUCAGUCGGAUCAACAAAGACUGGCUGGAGGGCACUGUCCGGGGAGCCACAGGAAUCUUCCCUCUCUCCUUUGUAAAGAUCCUAAAAGACUUCCCUGAGGAGGACGACCCCACCAACUGGCUGCGCUGUUACUACUAUGAAGACACCAUCAGCACCAUCAAGGACAUCGCAGUGGAGGAAGAUCUUAGCAGCACUCCCCCAUUCAAAGACCUGCUGGAGCUCACGAGGCGGGAGUUCCAGAGGGAGGACAUCGCCCUGAAUUACCGGGACGCGGAGGGGGAUCUGGUUCGGCUGCUGUCGGAUGAGGACGUGGCGCUCAUGGUGAGGCAGGCUGGCAGCCUCCCCUCCCAGAGGCGCCUCUUCCCCUGGAAGCUGCACAUCACGCAGAAGGACAACUACAGGGUCUACAACACAAUGCCCUGAGCUGACGCCGUCCCUGGAGCAGUGAGGGGUCACCAGCAAGAGCCUUCAGCCCUCAGAGGAGAUUAGGACCAGGAACACCUGGGAGGAUGGGGCAGACUUCCCAUCUCCAAGGUGGAACCCCAGAAUGAUGGUGUGAGGAGCUUGGUGGACCCUCUCCCCAGGGAAACAGCAGUUUAACUGAUGAGAAAUACUUUAAAUCAACUAUUUAAAGUCUCUAGAAAUUGUUCUAAGGGCACUGAGCACAUGGAGAUCAUUAUGUCUCAGAACAGCAAGUCGGUGGCAUUUGAGACACACGUGUUCCCAUCCCCCACCCUCAGCCCCAUGUGAUGGGAACUCCACGCCAGAUCCUCUGCUCUGGAUGGAUGCAGCCAGGAAGAUGGGCUCCCUCAUCCCGCAGCUCCUAACCUUCCGCAGUUUCACCCCAGGAGGAAUAGGCUGCCAGAAUCUCUUCUCUCUGCAGUUCUGUGCUGUAGAAGCACUAUUCCAGGUUAUCACAGCAGAGAGGACUGAGUUUCCUGCAGUUCCCAUAAAAAGUACCACAAAAUUGAGCUUAAGCAACAGAAUGGAUUGUCUCACAGUUCUGAAUGCUAGGUGUUCACAGGGCCAUGCUCCCUAUGAAAUCCGUAGGGAAAUGCUUUCCUCCCUUUUCUUAGCUUCUGGUGGUUUGCCGGCAACGUUUGGUGCGCCUAAGCUUGCAGAGGCAUCGCUCUGUCUUCACAUGGUGUUCUCCCUGUGUGCAUUUAUACUGUCUUCCCUCUGCACAUCUGUUGAUGCAUCAAAUUCCCCCUUAUAUGAGGACUCAAGUCAUGUUGGACUAGGGCCCAUCCGAAUGAUCUCAUUUUACCUCGAUUACCUGUAGAAACCUCCUAUUUCCAAAUAAGGCCACAUUCUGGAGUACUAGGGGUUAGUACUUCGUGUCUUU